AACGAACGCUGGCGGCAUGCCUAACACAUGCAAGUCGAACGAGACCUUCGGGUCUAUUGGCGCACGGGUUCGUAACGCGUUGUAACCUUCCCUUAUGUUCGGAAUAACUCCCCGUAAUGUGUGCUAAUACCGGUUAAUUUCUUCGGACCAAAGAUUUAUCGCCUUUUGAUGUGCCCUCGUUGUAUAGCUAGUUUGUAGGGUAAAAGCCUACCAAGGCGACGAUCCAUAGCUGGUCUGAGAGGAUGAUAAGCCACACUGGGACUGAGACACGGACCAGACUACUACGGGAGGGAGCAGAGGGGAAUAUUGGAAAAUGGGCGAAAGCAUGAUCAAGCAAUGACGCGUGAGUGAUGAAGGCAUUAGGGUUGUAAAGCUCUUUUAAACGGGAUGAUAAUGACAGUAACGGGAGAAUAAGCACCGGCUAACUCCGUG
Molecule: ribosomal RNA, 432 nt
Filed under: uncultured bacterium
Lineage: Bacteria
Description: partial 16S ribosomal RNA
Rfam family: Bacterial small subunit ribosomal RNA
Source: RNAcentral